GGUUGGUGGCUCAGUGGUAGAGCACUUGCUUAGCAUGAAUGAGGCACUGAGUUCAAUCCUCAGCACCA
Molecule: transfer RNA, 68 nt
Filed under: Marmota monax (woodchuck)
Lineage: Eukaryota; Metazoa; Chordata; Mammalia; Rodentia; Sciuridae
Description: tRNA.Ala
Rfam family: tRNA
About the family: Transfer RNA (tRNA) molecules are approximately 80 nucleotides in length. Their secondary structure includes four short double-helical elements and three loops (D, anti-codon, and T loops).
Source: RNAcentral